This 422-nucleotide long non-coding RNA is filed under the name Chinchilla lanigera (long-tailed chinchilla). RNAcentral describes it as "lncRNA (ENSCLAG00000024755.1)". Lineage: Eukaryota; Metazoa; Chordata; Mammalia; Rodentia; Chinchillidae. The record is from RNAcentral.
CUGAGGGGGGCGUGCUUCACAAUGCAGGAAUGAGGAGAGAGUGUCAUCUUCAGACCUAGUGAGUAGGGCACCUGCCCUCCAAGACUAGAGCUGUCAUCACUCCUGUGUGUGUGUGUGUCGAGAUGGAAGGCAAUUGUGUGUGCAGUUACUGCCAUCCCUAUUCCAGAGGAGAGAAAGACUAUUGAGAUUCUACGGCUCCCACGUCCACAGAGAUGUGCUGAGUCUCAAGGAAGGCUGCCCACUCCCACAAAACCACUGGCUCAGAGGGUCUGGAGGAUCAAAGUCAUCUUAUGUGGUUAAAGUCAUCUAUGAAGGAAGACAUAUCAACUGCUACUCUAGAAAACUGAAAAGAAAACACAAAUAAAAUUGGGCCUUUGCAGAUUGCUAGUAUUUCCACUUAAAGACAAGCAUAUAUAAAUAGC